This is a long non-coding RNA of Perca fluviatilis (European perch), 2362 nucleotides long. RefSeq lists it as uncharacterized. Lineage: Eukaryota; Metazoa; Chordata; Actinopteri; Perciformes; Percidae. The transcript has 3 exons. The record is from RefSeq and is a predicted model, not a curated record.
GCAGCCUGGUUAAUGAUGACGUAUUUACGGCACCUUGCUGAAUAACAAAAACAAACUGUCACCUCGUACGCUUCUGUCAGCGGUGCUUGUUGGAGGAUGCGACGGCGGGCAAAAAGACGCUAUAAAACCGGAUAAUAGAAAGCGUAAAAACGGCGCUGAAAAGGCGACAAUUAAAAAAGGAAAGCUCUAGAAAGUGACGUGGCCAGAUGUGCUAAACUGAGCAACUUUUUCAUUAAAACCAGUCAGAGUGAAACGCCAAAUGAAGACGAUGAGACCGCAGCAGCUAAUUGUCCAGUUGGCUGCUAACAGUGAAAAUGAAGAGCCAGUACCAAGCACCCGCCGUGAGCUCAGGACUCCAGAGUGGGCAGGGCUCAAGAUAGCAGCAUAGCCACACAGUGAUGACCAGGGAGGAAUUGCAGGAUGCAGCAGCCUGACAGAAGAGCCCAGUUACCCUCCUCUCCUGCCUGCUGAUUGGGCGUCUCUCCGCUGAGACCUCUUACGAACGCUCCUGAUAACCAAAUGAGCAUCUAAAGUAAAUAACAGGCUGACACACGGCAGGCUCCCAAACAGAACAUACAGCUGCUCAUUAAAAUCUCCCCAGCCGUUGCCAUACAUUUGAUACAGGUUGUAGCGAGAGUCUCCCCACUGGUUACAGGUUACACUUGUGCACACUCACGGUUUUCCUGUGCAAUGAGGGAUGAUUAGCAUCAUUUUAGGCACGCACACUUUUUACCACCUUAUUAGUUUAACCUUCUACAAGCUUGUUUUCACCCUGUAUGAUUGUCUGACUGGUCAUUCCAAGAUGUCAGCAAAUACUUUUAACUGAUGGCCGGAUCGACAAAAAUAUAACCCAAGUUGUAGUUUUCCUUUCAAAAACAUCCCCUGUAGCAUAGACUGUAUUAAGUCUUAUGUGAACCCAUUGACUGAGCACAACAACAGAGCUGCUUCCUCAUGCUCCCCUGACCAGGCAGACCCUUUGGCUGAGGCGACCAAUUAAUUAUAGACGUGACUUUAAAACUUCCUGUUUUUCCCUCCUUAAUUAAGCCAAUCUGCCCUGCUGCUCUAAAGAGAGGAAAUACCUCAAAAUAGUUCCCAAUUUCAGCACAUUCAAUUAUUUUGUGCCCAGUAGCAGAUUGCAUCGGCCGUGUUAAUGUACGGACCAACGAUGUUUGAUCACAGGGAAAUUAUGUCUGUCAUUUCUUCCUGCUUCGCCCCCGAUUAAUGUGGGAAUUGUGAGGCGAGUUGGUGCCCAACGUGGGCACAGCCCGCGCACGGAUUACUAACUACGUGCCCUCAGUCAGGCCCAUCCAACAUCAAUCUCUGCCUGAGAUGUUUAUUAUUACACUCAUGCAGUCACUUAUUCUGAAGAGAGAGAGAAAAAAAUCCCUGAUUUAUGCCUCCACUGUUACCCUUUCCUGUCCUCAUUUAUGAAAACAAAAUUCCAGUGAAUUCCUGCAGUAUUAACACUAAGCAGUUACGAGGUCAAGCUUUCACUUACACUGCACAAUUCAACUGGCCGGGCACAGUCCACUCACAGAUAUUGUGUUGUUUGCUGCAGCUUCACUGUGGCUUUGUUAUGCCACGUAAGCCGAGUAAAGGAGUCUGAACACAAACUUACAAACUGACCUUGACACCAGACACGCUUCAUAUCUCUCUCCGCCUUUUUUUUUUUUUUUACACUUACACUAAAUCUACAGCCAGUGUUCAAGAGCACCAAGGCAACUUGAGUGUUAUCAUAAAUGCACCACACUUGUUCAACACCUGCCAGUGUUUUUCAGUGGUGCCCUUUUCAACUUUGAACUGAAACUCACCUCCAGGCCUCACCCUCUGUGUUUUUCACUGGGAAACAGGAAAAAGGAGGAGAAAGUGAAGACCUACGUGGAAUGAAAAACCAGGGCUGGAACAUUUUAAAAGGGUACUUAAUGUGAAGUGUUCCUUUAUUAUUUUAUUAGUCAUAUCAGGUGAAUACCAUCUAUUGUUCUCUGCUGUGGUAUCUGUGUGUCAGAUGUCAGUGAGGUUGUGGGUGUGUACCAUCAGAGAGUAUUGUAUAUUUCAUGAUACCCCCGUUUUACCUCAUUAAAUACAUAUUCGUAAUAUGGACAGUAUAUUAGUAUUUCAAUAGUUUAUUUUAUCUGUAUUUAUUUUGGGUAAAGGCUUCUCUGCGACACCUUUUCAAUUAUGAUUUUGAAAUAGAGGCCCUGAACUAAAUAAGGGCGGGUGACAGAGAAGGUGAAUUUUAUUUUAGCUUUUUAUCUCUUAAGAACAUUUUUAUGAUGUACCGUAUGGUAAUGUGGGUAAUAAAUUACGCACCAGUAACACAUACAAGUAAACUCCUUAUAAUUUUACAUUUUAAAUGAAAAUC